CUUGGUCAUUUAGAGGAAGUAAAAGUCGUAACAAGGUCUCCGUUGGUGAACCAGCGGAGGGAUCAUUACCGAGUUUACAACUCCCAAACCCAAUGUGAACGUUACCAAACUGUUGCCUCGGCGGGAUCUCUGCCCCGGGUGCGUCGCAGCCCCGGACCAAGGCGCCCGCCGGAGGACCAACCAAAACUCUUUUGUAUACCCCCUCGCGGGUUUUUUAUAUCUGAGCCAUCUCGGCGCCUCUCGUAGGCGUUUCGAAAAUGAAUCAAAACUUUCAACAACGGAUCUCUUGGUUCUGGCAUCGAUGAAGAACGCAGCGAAAUGCGAUAAGUAAUGUGAAUUGCAGAAUUCAGUGAAUCAUCGAAUCUUUGAACGCACAUUGCGCCCGCCAGUAUUCUGGCGGGCAUGCCUGUCCGAGCGUCAUUUCAACCCUCGAACCCCUCCGGGGGGUCGGCGUUGGGGAUCGGCCCUUUACGGGGCCGGCCCCGAAAUACAGUGGCGGUCUCGCCGCAGCCUCUCCUGCGCAGUAGUUUGCACACUCGCAUCGGGAGCGCGGCGCGUCCAUUGCCGUAAAACACCCAACUUUCUGAAAUGUUGACCUCGGAUCAGGUAGGAAUACCCGCUGAACUUAAGCAUAUCAAUAAGCGGAGG
This 648-nucleotide ribosomal RNA is filed under the name fungal sp. ARIZ L205. RNAcentral describes it as "eukaryotic LSU rRNA". The stretch from base 267 to 420 matches the Rfam family "5.8S ribosomal RNA". The record is from RNAcentral. Lineage: Eukaryota; Fungi.